This 450-nucleotide small RNA is filed under the name Drosophila yakuba. RNAcentral describes it as "GE29174". The record is from RNAcentral. Lineage: Eukaryota; Metazoa; Arthropoda; Insecta; Diptera; Drosophilidae.
CAGCUUAGCUAACCCUUAAGUAGGACUACAUUUCGUGUUGUACCAAGCAAUCUACUUUCCUAACUCCAUCCAUAGCCGGCGGCGGUGUGAAAUCAUAAACGCAAUCAAGCAAUGCUACGCCUACGACAUAGAGAUUAAGUCAGACGAAACUCUCAUCAGCAACAGCAUGCCAUCCUUUUCCCUGCAUCCCUCAGUAUAUCUGAAUAUCUGAUUUCCGGAACAUCAGCUCACAAGUCAGGCCUAUCAAGUCAAACAGAUGCUUCGGGUGAGGAGAUGGCAUCCGUCCCGUCGAAGGACGGACAAACUCGGCGGAUGGAGUUCAUCGUCGCACGCCCACACAUAAUCCGCAUAAUCUGCAUGCAAAUAUAUGUAAAUUUAUUAAUAGUUGUGUGUGUACGAACAGCAAGUUUUUGGAAACGAACAAAUAAAUAGACAAUUCGAAAAGACAAA